UUCGCCCUUAGAGUUUGAUCCUGGCUCAGGACGAACGCUGGCGGCGCGCCUAACACAUGCAAGUCGAACGGAGCUUAGAGAGCUUGCUUUUUAAGCUUAGUGGCGAACGGGUGAGUAACGCGUGAGUAACCUGCCCUAGAGUGGGGGACAACAGUUGGAAACGACUGCUAAUACCGCAUAAGCCCACGGUGCCGCAUGACACUGAGGGAAAAGGAUUUAUUCGCUUUAGGAUGGACUCGCGUCCAAUUAGCUAGUUGGUGAGGUAACGGCCCACCAAGGCGACGAUUGGUAGCCGGACUGAGAGGUUGAACGGCCACAUUGGGACUGAGACACGGCCCAGACUCCUACGGGAGGCAGCAGUGGGGGAUAUUGCACAAUGGGGGAAACCCUGAUGCAGCGACGCCGCGUGGAGGAAGAAGGUUUUCGGAUUGUAAACUCCUGUCGUUAGGGACGAUAAUGACGGUACCUAACAAGAAAGCACCGGCUAACUACGUGCCAGCAGCCGCGGUAAAACGUAGGGUGCAAGCGUUGUCCGGAAUUACUGGGUGUAAAGGGAGCGCAGGCGGGAAGACAAGUUGGAAGUGAAAACCAUGGGCUCAACCCAUGAAUUGCUUUCAAAACUGUUUUUCUUGAGUAGUGCAGAGGUAGAUGGAAUUCCCGGUGUAGCGGUGGAAUGCGUAGAUAUCGGGAGGAACACCAGUGGCGAAGGCGGUCUACUGGGCACCAACUGACGCUGAGGCUCGAAAGCAUGGGUAGCAAACAGGAUUAGAUACCCUGGUAGUCCAUGCCGUAAACGAUGAUUACUAGGUGUUGGGGAUUGACCCCCCUCAGUGCCGCAGUUAACACAAUAAGUAAUCCACGUGGGGAGUAUAACCGCAAGGUUGAAACUCAAAGGAAUUGACGGGGGCCCGCACAAGCAGUGGAGUAUGUGGUUUAAUUCGAAGCAACGCGAAGAACCUUACCAGGUCUUGACAUCCGAUGCAUAGCACAGAGAUGUGUGAAAUCCUUCGGGACAUCGAGACAGGUGGUGCAUGGUUGUCGUCAGCUCGUGUCGUGAGAUGUUGGGUUAAGUCCCGCAACGAGCGCAACCCUUAUCUUUAGUAGCCAGCGGUUCGGCCGGGCACUCUAGAGAGACUGCCAGGGAUAACCUGGAGGAAGGCGGGGAUGACGUCAAAUCAUCAUGCCCCUUAUGACUUGGGCUACACACGUGCUACAAUGGCGUAAACAAAGGGAAGCGAAGCUGUGAAGCCGAGCAAAUCCCAAAAAUAACGUCCCAGUUCGGACUGCAGUCUGCAACUCGACUGCACGAAGCUGGAAUCGCUAGUAAUCGCGGAUCAGAAUGCCGCGGUGAAUACGUUCCCGGGUCUUGCACUCAACGCCCGUCA
Molecule: ribosomal RNA, 1385 nt
Filed under: uncultured bacterium
Lineage: Bacteria
Description: 16S ribosomal RNA
Rfam family: Bacterial small subunit ribosomal RNA
Source: RNAcentral